Long non-coding RNA from Astatotilapia calliptera (eastern happy), 1025 nucleotides. The record is from Ensembl. NCBI's taxonomy places the organism in Eukaryota, Metazoa, Chordata, Actinopteri, Cichliformes, Cichlidae.
GAUUUACCAAACAUUAUUUAAUAAAUGAUUUUGCAAUACAAAACAUCUGUGCAAAAAUAUUCAGACAAAAUACAAAGCCAAGGCCUCUCUUGAUCAAUAUGCAUGUAAACCUGUUAUGGGUACACUGGCAUUGAAAUAUACAUAUACUUUUGUUUCUUCUUACCAAUAAAAGACAAAAAAAAAGGCACUAUAAUGAAUUUUUGCCAAAUACAAAAAUACCUAAACUUGAUUAAGAUUCACAGUCUUGUGUACAAGUGGUUUGUGCACUGCUAUAUUAGUACAUAGACUACAUAAAAAAAGAUGACUGUAGCCACAAUGACGGCACCCAAUGGUUGAAACCUUCACUUGAGCAUUUUCACUUUUAUUAUUUUAUUCUAUUAGACUCUGUACACUCAUACGGUAGCCAUGCCUUAUACUAUUCUCUGCCUUAUUAGCAAUUGUCAGUGACAGCAUCCUUAACAAAAUGAGAAACGUCCUGUAUUAAAUAAGGCUUCACUGAUGUCAAAAAUCAAGUGAGAAGUGGACUGGACUGGGGGAGUCGCCCCCUGUUGGCCAUCAGUGCAGACUGCGUUGGCCUUGCUUUUUUAAAUCUGGAAGCAAAGUCCAGCUUAUAUAUACAGUCUAUGUUAGUAUUCGUACAUCAUUUACAUUGCUGGGGCUCAUGGGUAAAGAUGCUUAGGUAGCUCACUCUGCUUUAGAAAAUAGAAUCACAAAAACACACAGAGAGGAAAGGCAUUUGAAAAAUACACUCUCAAAUGAUUUCAAAUAGCAUGGAAACAAGAGCACACCCUUCAUGCUGCUAAUAACAGCCAACCAGCUUCACUACUGACCUCUACUCACUUGAAUGCUGAGGAAAACUAAAGAGCAGUAGGAUUUAUAAAGACAACUGAAUUUGAUUGUGAUGCCAUUUUUGUAGCUACUUUUUUCUUGUUGCUACAUUUCACAUGUGUCCACUUACUUUACAACUCAGAAAUGCACUUUAUUCUCUGCAUGUCCUCAGUAAAAACAACCCGGAUGUGUUAUUG